RNAcentral lists this ribosomal RNA (253 nucleotides) under uncultured bacterium. RNAcentral describes it as "partial 16S ribosomal RNA". It matches the Rfam family "Bacterial small subunit ribosomal RNA", at positions 524 to 776 of the family's 1533-position model. The record is from RNAcentral.
UACGUAGGUGACCAGCGUUGUCCGGAUUUACUGGGCGUAAAGAGCGCGCAGGCGGUCGUUCAAGUCGAGUGUGAAAGCCCCCGGCUCAACUGGGGAGGGUCACUCGAUACUGAUCGACUUGAAGGCAGGAGAGGGAAGCGGAAUUCCCGGUGUAGUGGUGAAAUGCGUAGAUAUCGGGAGGAACACCAGUGGCGAAGGCGACUCGCUGGACAAGUAUUGACGCUGAGGUGCGAAAGCGUGGGGAGCAAACAGG